Molecule: ribosomal RNA, 253 nt
Filed under: uncultured bacterium
Lineage: Bacteria
Description: partial 16S ribosomal RNA
Rfam family: Bacterial small subunit ribosomal RNA
Source: RNAcentral
UACGAAGGGUGCAAACGUUGCUCGGAAUCAUUGGGCGUAAAGCGCACGUAGGCGGCGCUCUAAGUCGGAUGUGAAAUCCCUCGGCUCAACCGAGGACGUGCAUCCGAAACUGGAGUGCUCGAGUAUGGAAGAGGGUCGCGGAAUUCUCGGUGUAGAGGUGAAAUUCGUAGAUAUCGGGAGGAACACCAGUGGCGAAGGCGGCGACCUGGGCCAAUACUGACGCUGAGGUGCGAAAGCGUGGGGAGCAAACAGG